RNAcentral lists this ribosomal RNA (486 nucleotides) under uncultured bacterium. Its description in RNAcentral is "partial 16S ribosomal RNA". It matches the Rfam family "Bacterial small subunit ribosomal RNA", at positions 28 to 507 of the family's 1533-position model. The record is from RNAcentral.
GAUGAACGCUGGCGGCGUGCCUAAUACAUGCAAGUCGAACGCUGGAGAUCUAGCUUGCUAGAUCGAAGGAGUGGCGAACGGGUGAGUAAUACAUAAGCAACCUACCCACGAAGACUGGGAUAAUCUCUGGAAACGGGGACUAAUACCGGAUAGGUAAUCGGAAGGCAUCUUCUGGUUAUUAAAGGUUAAAAACACUGGUGGAUGGGCUUAUGGCGCAUUAGUUAGUUGGUGAGGUAACGGCCCACCAAGACGAUGAUGCGUAGCCGGCCUGAGAGGGUGAACGGCCACAUUGGGACUGAGACACGGCCCAGACUCCUACGGGAGGCAGCAGUAGGGAAUUUUCGGCAAUGGGGGCAACCCUGACCGAGCAACGCCGCGUGAGUGUAGACGGCCUUCGGGUUGUAAAGCUCUGUUGUAAGGGAAGAACGGUAGAUAGAGAAUAUCUAAGUGACGGUACCUUACCAGAAAGCCACGGCUAACUACGUG